AAUGGGCGCAAGCCUGAUGCAGCAAUGCCGCGUGUGUGAAGAAGGCCUGCGGGUUGUAAAGCACUUUCAAUAGUGAAGAAAAGUUGUAGGUUAAUACCCGGCGACCUUGACGUUAACUAUACAAGAAGCACCGGCUAACUCCGUGCCAGCAGCCGCGGUAAUACGGAGGGUGCAAGCGUUAAUCGGAAUUACUGGGCGUAAAGCGUGCGUAGGCUGUUUGCUAAGUCAGAUGUGAAAGCCCCGGGCUUAACCUGGGAACUGCAUUUGAUACUGGCAGACUAGAAUGUGGUAGAGGGAGGUAGAAUUUCUGGUGUAGCGGUGAAAUGCGUAGAUAUCAGAAGGAAUACCAGUGGCGAAGGCGGCCUCCUGGACCAACAUUGACGCUGAGGUACGAAAGCGUGGGUAGCGAACAGGAUU
This 417-nucleotide ribosomal RNA is filed under the name uncultured Gammaproteobacteria bacterium. RNAcentral describes it as "bacterial SSU rRNA". It matches the Rfam family "Bacterial small subunit ribosomal RNA", at positions 370 to 779 of the family's 1533-position model. Lineage: Bacteria; Pseudomonadati; Pseudomonadota; Gammaproteobacteria. The record is from RNAcentral.